This is a long non-coding RNA of Thalassophryne amazonica, 568 nucleotides long. RefSeq lists it as uncharacterized. The record is from RefSeq and is a predicted model, not a curated record. Lineage: Eukaryota; Metazoa; Chordata; Actinopteri; Batrachoidiformes; Batrachoididae. The transcript is spliced from 3 exons.
AAUGGCUGGGCCUUUGUGCCGUGAUAUCGACGCUGUGACUAUCAAAAGAAGCAACCAUGCCGGCUACCAUAAGAAUUGUUGAAUCAGUGAAUCCUUAAAGAGUGCAACAUCAAAGCACAAUCGCUGUAUCCUGCUCAGCUGAGAAUCUUUCUUGCAUCAGGUACUAAAGUUUUCCCCUCGCUGCUGGAGGCACGCUCUACAUUGGAAAAGCUGGGUGUGAAAGUGGAGAUAGACGACAGAGAAGCUCUGGAAAUGGAACUGGCCCAAAACGCCUGGACAACACAAUCCGGCGGGAGGAGGAGCCAAUGCCAACCGAAAACAUCGGAGAUAAGAAGUUUUAUUCAAUGGGACUGAAUGAGAAGCAGAAUGACAUCGUUCACAGUAUCGAACAGCUGAAUGACAAAGUUGAUGCACUACAUCCUUGGACCAUCCCUGAAAGUGUCGGUUCCCAGACAUACCAGGAGAGAGAACAAUGUGGACACCCAGUCACAGUAGAGAGGCACUGUGGUGUCUGGUCUCUCUCCGGCUGCUAAUGCAACAUGGCAGAAUCCGCUACAAAACAUUAAUU